Molecule: long non-coding RNA, 583 nt
Filed under: Homo sapiens (human)
Lineage: Eukaryota; Metazoa; Chordata; Mammalia; Primates; Hominidae
Description: HSALNT0195844
Source: RNAcentral
CCAAAGUUCUUCCAACAAUUUAAGCCAGGAAUUGCCCCACUGUUUCCGAGGUGAUGAGAGCCUCUGAGAGAAAGUGCUAGGAUUACAGGCAUGAGCCACUGCACCCAGCCUCACAGAGCUCCUAAAUUAUAAGAGUGGGGAUUUGAACCCAGAUGAGAAAACUGAGGCACAUAGGGUUAAGUAGAUUGUCCAAGGUCACUGCUGAUAACUGCAGCACUGGGAUUUGAAGCACUGAACUCUGCUGACUCCUGAGAAGCAUACCUCUAACAGCUGAGAUUUCCAAGGCUUUUUGGCCAAUGUGUUUGUCAACAUCUGCAACAAAUUUCCAGAACUCAGGCCAGAGCCCUGGGCAAAGCCUCCUUUUUUGUCUCCUCUUUUUAUCUCCCAGUGCAGUAGGAAGCCAUCAGAUGAUUUUAAAUGGAGAAGUAAGACACUUGGAUCUGUGCCUAAAAGAAUCACUCUGCUGUUGAGUUCCUGAGAAGCAGACUCUGAGAUAGAGAUCAUUUUGUGGGAAGCUUAUUGGGAGGUGCUCUUGGGAUCCACACCUGUAGAAGCCUCUUUGCUCCCCACACUUCAGGACUGG